UCCCCUUCUCCCUCGUGUUUCUUUAUCUAAAAAACAUGAAAAGUUGCUUCAAGAUUAAUGGUAACCCCCUCACAUUCGUGCAACCGCCUUUAUCUAAUUCAGAAUUUUUGCCUUUCGCUCAAGCUAGAGAUUCUCACUCAAGCUAGAGAUUCUCGCUCAAGUGAGAUAGCAGAUUUCAACAUGAAGAAACUCUCCUAGCUUGAGCGGCAGUUAUGGCUUGGGUGAUAGGUCUCUAGUAGGCUUGGCUUUUUACCCAUGAUCCUCUCGCUUGAGUGACAACUAUGGCUUAGGUGAGAAGUCUCCAGGAAGGUUGGCUCUUUUAGCUCUUUUCUAGCUUGAGUGAGGUUCUCUAGCUUAGGCGAGAGACCAAUGCUAACUUUUCCACAAGUCUUCUUCAAUUUUUAGCUUCUUCAACCUCAUUACCUUGGAAAUG
Molecule: long non-coding RNA, 433 nt
Filed under: Lupinus angustifolius (narrow-leaved blue lupine)
Lineage: Eukaryota; Viridiplantae; Streptophyta; Magnoliopsida; Fabales; Fabaceae
Description: long non-coding RNA (LANG_LNC003095)
Source: RNAcentral